Long non-coding RNA from Papaver somniferum (opium poppy), 742 nucleotides. RefSeq lists it as uncharacterized. NCBI's taxonomy places the organism in Eukaryota, Viridiplantae, Streptophyta, Magnoliopsida, Ranunculales, Papaveraceae. The record is from RefSeq and is a predicted model, not a curated record. The transcript has 2 exons.
CCUCAAUAGUUCGAGCGAGACCUUAAGGAGAAAAACAGAGAGUUCAAUCGAGAGGAAAAUUGGGAGAAUCGAGUGAAAGUUGGAGAGCUGGAGUGAAAUCUCUUUGAUACAUGGCUUCUUGAAGAUUUUUUGCUACCAUUGAAGGAAGAAGAAGACGAAGCUUGGCUACUUCUCCAUCUCAGUCGUGAAAUAAGCUUAAAUUGAGGUCAUGGUGAUUCAAAACAGGACUUUAAAGUAUUCUUAAAGAAGGCGUUAUUGGUGCCAAAAGAGAGAAGACGAAUGCCAAAAAAAAAUGGUUUACUUUGAGUUAAAUGGCAUGAUAGACUUUCAACCAUGUAUGAACCAAGAUUUUAAGUAUUAGUGGUAAAAUUUGGUUGGGAAUUAAAGUGGAGCAGAAGUUUGUUGAAUUUUGGAUGCCAAAAGAGUCAGCUCACAAGGACCAGUCUGAGUUAGGGAGGUGUUCGCUGCUCUGAGAAGCUAGCCUGACGCGGUGCCGUCCACUACUCCCACUCCCGACUUGGGACUGGCGAGUUGAUAAAUUGUGCGCGCAAGAAGAACCUACCGACUGAAACAAAAACAUAGUUGUCCAUGUGCCUUCCGACUUGAGCUAAAGAUUUAGAUUAUGGGCCAUUUAGUUUGUUUGUACUUUGUAGUUUGUACACACCUUCGCCUGAUGGGCUUGAGAAGCCCAAGUGUGGAUUUUUUCCUCGGAAAUUAAAUUCGAACAAAUAAAUUUUCUUAA